Molecule: ribosomal RNA, 292 nt
Filed under: uncultured bacterium
Lineage: Bacteria
Description: partial 16S ribosomal RNA
Rfam family: Bacterial small subunit ribosomal RNA
Source: RNAcentral
GUGCCAGCCGCCGCGGUAAUACGAAGGGGGCUAGCGUUGUUCGGAAUUACUGGGCGUAAAGGGCGCGUAGGCGGCCAUUCAAGUUAGAUGUGAAAGCCCUGGGCUCAACCUAGGAAUUGCAUUUGAUACUGUUUGGCUUGAGUUCGGGAGAGGUGAGUGGAAUUCCCAGUGUAGAGGUGAAAUUCGUAGAUAUUGGGAAGAACACCAGUGGCGAAGGCGGCUCACUGGACCGACACUGACGCUGAGGCGCGAAAGCGUGGGGAGCAAACAGGAUUAGAUACCCUGGUAGUCC